This 208-nucleotide long non-coding RNA is filed under the name Elaeis guineensis (African oil palm). Its description in RNAcentral is "long non-coding RNA (EGUI_LNC020750)". Lineage: Eukaryota; Viridiplantae; Streptophyta; Magnoliopsida; Arecales; Arecaceae. The record is from RNAcentral.
GAUUGUGGGUAAUCCUAGGUGAAGUCCUGGAUUUAUGUUAUUAGGAUCGAUUAUCGAUAAUUUCUCCAUAUAUAAUUUUUAUAUUUGAUCAGGAUGAUGAAGAGAUACGAUUGUUUACAUAAGAUGUCGAGUGGAAUAUCUUAUUUUCGAAAUUCAUAAAUCAAAGAAGAACAUUGAUUUCUAUGCUUCGAUCAGAUAAAGGUAAGAA